This 380-nucleotide ribosomal RNA is filed under the name uncultured eukaryote. Its description in RNAcentral is "partial 18S ribosomal RNA". It matches the Rfam family "Eukaryotic small subunit ribosomal RNA", at positions 592 to 976 of the family's 1831-position model. The record is from RNAcentral.
CAAUAGCGUAUAUUAAAGUUGUUGCAGUUAAAAAGCUCGUAGUUGGAUUUGUGGCGUACGGUGUGUUCCGGGCACUUGUUGUCUGAGUAACCUGCUGUUGCCAUCCUUGGGUGGAACCUGUGUGGCAUUAGGUUGUCGUGCAGGGGAUGCCCAUCAUUUACUGUGAAAAAAUUAGAGUGUUCAAAGCAGGCUUAUGCCGUUGAAUAUAUUAGCAUGGAAUAAUGAGAUAGGACUUUUUUGCUAUUUUGUUGGUUUGCGCAGAGAGGUAAUGAUUAAUAGGGACAGUUGGGGGUAUUCGUAUUCCAUUGUCAGAGGUGAAAUUCUUGGAUUUUUGGAAGACGAACUACUGCGAAAGCAUUUACCAAGGAUGUUUUCAUUAA